AGAGUUUGAUCCUGGCUCAGGAUGAACGCUAGCUACAGGCUUAACACAUGCAAGUCGAGGGGAAACGACAUCGAAAGCUUGCUUUUGAUGGGCGUCGACCGGCGCACGGGUGGGUAACGCGUAUCCAACCUACCCUUGUCCAUCGGAUAACCCGUCGAAAGGCGGCCUAACACGAUAUGCGGUUCUCAGCAGGCAUCUAACGAGAACGAAAUGUGAAGGAGAAGGAUGGGGAUGCGUCUGAUUAGCUUGUUGGCGGGGUAACGGCCACCAAGGCGACGAUCAGUAGGGGUUCUGAGAGGAAGGUCCCCCACAUUGGAACUGAGACACGGUCCAAACUCCUACGGGAGGCA
RNAcentral lists this ribosomal RNA (350 nucleotides) under uncultured bacterium. RNAcentral's name for it is "bacterial SSU rRNA". It matches the Rfam family "Bacterial small subunit ribosomal RNA", at positions 8 to 350 of the family's 1533-position model. The record is from RNAcentral.